Molecule: long non-coding RNA, 426 nt
Organism: Gigantopelta aegis
Lineage: Eukaryota; Metazoa; Mollusca; Gastropoda; Neomphalida; Peltospiridae
Exons: 2
Source: RefSeq, a predicted model, not a curated record
UACACAGAGUGGCAACGUGUAUUAUCCAACACAUCAUCAAAAUGACGUUAACGUUGUGACACGACUCACGGUUCGUGACUCUGACGUUUCACCGUUUGUGACGUCACGCUAAGCUUUCGUCACGCCUUAUUAUUUGAUCACCGUGUCAAAGACACCUGGGAUCGGCCUUGUUUUACCUGUACAGGAGAUGAUUUAGAUUCGAUCGGCAUGCUCGGGAAAACUCGGAAGUAAUUACAUGUUUGUUUUGUGGAACACAGAUAGUCUCGGAUAUGGUCCAUUUGCAGGUUGACGAACCUUGAGAAAACGCGAAUGCAGACAGUUCUGCUGAUAUACCGCGAGACUGACCAAGUCUUUAUAUUAUGGUUGUUACGGUUUCUAAAUGAAUAAAGCUCGUCUGUCCAUAUCUGGAACUGACUGUAUGCUAAU